CGUCGAGCGGCGGACGGGUGAGUAAUGCCUAGGAAAUUGCCCUGAUGUGGGGGAUAACCAUUGGAAACGAUGGCUAAUACCGCAUAAUGCCUACGGGCCAAAGAGGGGGACCUUCGGGCCUCUCGCGUCAGGAUAUGCCUAGGUGGGAUUAGCUAGUUGGUGAGGUAAGGGCUCACCAAGGCGACGAUCCCUAGCUGGUCUGAGAGGAUGAUCAGCCACACUGGAACUGAGACACGGUCCAGACUCCUACGGGAGGCAGCAGUGGGGAAUAUUGCACAAUGGGCGCAAGCCUGAUGCAGCCAUGCCGCGUGUGUGAAGAAGGCCUUCGGGUUGUAAAGCACUUUCAGUCGUGAGGAAGGUAGUGUAGUUAAUAGCUGCAUUAUUUGACGUUAGCGACAGAAGAAGCACCGGCUAACUCCGUGCCAGCAGCCGCGGUAAUACGGAGGGUGCGAGCGUUAAUCGGAAUUACUGGGCGUAAAGCGCAUGCAGGUGGUUUGUUAAGUCAGAUGUGAAAGCCCGGGGCUCAACCUCGGAAUUGCAUUUGAAACUGGCAGACUAGAGUACUGUAGAGGGGGGUAGAAUUUCAGGUGUAGCGGUGAAAUGCGUAGAGAUCUGAAGGAAUACCGGUGGCGAAGGCGGCCCCCUGGACAGAUACUGACACUCAGAUGCGAAAGCGUGGGGAGCAAACAGGAUUAGAUACCCUGGUAGUCCACGCCGUAAACGAUGUCUACUUGGAGGUUGUGGCCUUGAGCCGUGGCUUUCGGAGCUAACGCGUUAAGUAGACCGCCUGGGGAGUACGGUCGCAAGAUUAAAACUCAAAUGAAUUGACGGGGGCCCGCACAAGCGGUGGAGCAUGUGGUUUAAUUCGAUGCAACGCGAAGAACCUUACCUACUCUUGACAUCCAGAGAACUUUCCAGAGAUGGAUUGGUGCCUUCGGGAACUCUGAGACAGGUGCUGCAUGGCUGUCGUCAGCUCGUGUUGUGAAAUGUUGGGUUAAGUCCCGCAACGAGCGCAACCCUUAUCCUUGUUUGCCAGCGAGU
This 1041-nucleotide ribosomal RNA is filed under the name Vibrio campbellii. Its description in RNAcentral is "bacterial SSU rRNA". It matches the Rfam family "Bacterial small subunit ribosomal RNA", at positions 89 to 1126 of the family's 1533-position model. The record is from RNAcentral. Lineage: Bacteria; Pseudomonadati; Pseudomonadota; Gammaproteobacteria; Vibrionales; Vibrionaceae.